CGAUGAACCGCUUCGGUGGUGGAUUAGUGGCGAACGGGUGAGUAACACGUGGGCAAUCUGCCCUUCACUCUGGGACAAGCCCUGGAAACGGGGUCUAAUACCGGAUAAUACUCUGUUCUGCAUGGGAGGGGGUUGAAAGCUCCGGCGGUGAAGGAUGAGCCCGCGGCCUAUCAGCUUGUUGGUGGGGUAAUGGCCUACCAAGGCGACGACGGGUAGCCGGCCUGAGAGGGCGACCGGCCACACUGGGACUGAGACACGGCCCAGACUCCUACGGGAGGCAGCAGUGGGGAAUAUUGCACAAUGGGCGAAAGCCUGAUGCAGCGACGCCGCGUGAGGGAUGACGGCCUUCGGGUUGUAAACCUCUUUCAGCAGGGAAGAAGCGCAAGUGACGGUACCUGCAGAAGAAGCGCCGGCUAACUACGUGCCAGCAGCCGCGGUAAUACGUAGGGCGCAAGCGUUGUCCGGAAUUAUUGGGCGUAAAGAGCUCGUAGGCGGCUUGUCACGUCGGAUGUGAAAGCCCGGGGCUUAACCCCGGGUCUGCAUUCGAUACGGGCUAGCUAGAGUGUGGUAGGGGAGAUCGGAAUUCCUGGUGUAGCGGUGAAAUGCGCAGA
Molecule: ribosomal RNA, 611 nt
Filed under: Streptomyces sp. MJAU D0065
Lineage: Bacteria; Bacillati; Actinomycetota; Actinomycetes; Kitasatosporales; Streptomycetaceae
Also listed under: 1 other name
Description: bacterial SSU rRNA
Rfam family: Bacterial small subunit ribosomal RNA
Source: RNAcentral